UACGGGGGGGGUAAGCGUUGUUCGGAAUUACUGGGCGUAAAGGGCUCGUAGGCGGCCAACUAAGUCGGACGUGAAAUCCCUCAGCUUAACUGGGGAACUGCGUCCGAUACUGGAUGGCUUGGAUUUGGGAGAGGGAUGCGGAAUUCCAGGUGUAGCGGUGAAAUGCGUAGAUAUGUGGAGGAAUACCGGUGGCGAAGGCGGCCUCCUGGUUCAAUACUGACGCUGAGGUGCGAAAGCGUGGGGAGCAAACAGG
Molecule: ribosomal RNA, 253 nt
Filed under: uncultured bacterium
Lineage: Bacteria
Description: partial 16S ribosomal RNA
Rfam family: Bacterial small subunit ribosomal RNA
Source: RNAcentral